UCUGAUGACAGUUAUGCUAGGUUCCUUUC
Molecule: non-coding RNA, 29 nt
Filed under: Rattus norvegicus (Norway rat)
Lineage: Eukaryota; Metazoa; Chordata; Mammalia; Rodentia; Muridae
Source: RNAcentral